AGCUCCAAUAGCGUAUAUUAAAGUUGUUGCGGUUAAAAAGCUCGUAGUUGGAUCUGCGACCUUGCCUCCUGGUGUUCCCGCAGGGUUCUACUAGGCUGGCAGGUCUACCUCGUUGGUUUUCCACUGGUCCUCUUCACUGAGUGCCUUUGGUGACCAGCAAGUUUACUUUGAAAAAAUUAGAGUGCUCAAAGCAGGCGCGUAGCCUGAAUAGUGGUGCAUGGAAUAAUGGAAUAGGACCUCGGUUCUAUUUUGUUGGUUUUCGGAGCGCGAGGUAAUGAUUAAGAGGGACAGACGGGGGCAUUCGUAUUGCUGCGUUAGAGGUGAAAUUCUUGGAUCGCAGCAAGACGGACAACUGCGAAAGCAUUUGCCAAGAAUGUUUUCA
This 382-nucleotide ribosomal RNA is filed under the name uncultured eukaryote. RNAcentral's name for it is "SSU rRNA". It matches the Rfam family "Eukaryotic small subunit ribosomal RNA", at positions 587 to 972 of the family's 1831-position model. The record is from RNAcentral.